CACUGCUCUGACGGAUGCUUUUAUUAGACCAAGCCGCUGAGGACUUGAGGGUUCGCUCUCCUGUUCGACUCGUGUAAUGGUGACUCUGGAUAACCAAAUUUCUGACAAGCGCACGUACUUCUCUUCUGAGCGAGACGGCGCUGCCACUUUCGAGUGUCUGCCUUAUCAGCUAUCAACCGUUCGUUAUGCGCGACCGAUGGCUUUGACGGGUAACGGGGAAUCAGGGUUCGAUUCCGGAGAGGCAGCCUGAGAGACGGCUACCACGUCCAAGGACGGCAGCAGGCACGCAAAUUACCCAAUCCCAGCAAAUGGGGGAGGUAGUGACGAAAUCUAACGAUGCGGGCGCCCUUUCUGGGGCCCCGCAAUCGGAAUGGGCACUUUCUAAACAACCUGUUGAGAACCUACUGAAGGGCAAGUCUGGUGCCAGCAGCCGCGGUAAUUCCAGCUUCAGCAGCAUCUAUUAAAGUUGCUGCGGUUAAAAGGCUCGCAGUUGAAUGUCUGUAUCGAGCGCAGGUCAGGUGGACGUUGGGGCGUGGAAGUACGGGUCGUUGGAUGUCCGGAGGGCCUUCGUGCUCAACGGCUCCUUCGGCUUUUCCACACACCCCCGUCCGUGACAAGCCUCCUCGCUCGGGUACAUAACGGGAAUCGGUCAAACGGAGUGUGGUCGGCAGUUGCGGUGCGUGGCCUCGGUUGCGUGUUGCUUCUGUCGGCUGCGUUAAGCUCCAUCGGUUUCACGGUCACCUUGAGUAAAUCAGAGUGCUCAAAGCAGUCGUAGGGGCCUUGCGCCCUGUGAACAGUCUUGACGGACUGACUUGGUUUUGCAUGGCAUGUCGGAAGACGACGUCGUGUGCUGGCUCAGAGGAUAAAUCAGUGGUACAAGCCAGCCUCGACGUAAUGAUUAAAAGGGACGGUCGAGGGCAUUGGUAUUGCGAGGCGAGAGGUGAAAUUCUGUGACCCCCGCAAGACCUCCUGAAGCGAAAGCGUCUGCCAAGGACGUUUUCAUUAAUCAUGAACGAAAGUUAGAGGAUCGAAGGCGAUCAGAUACCGCCCUAGUUCUAACCCUAAACGAUGCCAACCAUCAAUCCGCGCGUAGCACCCUUCUUAACGGGCUCGGCGGGCAGCUCCCCACUCACGGGAAACCAGAGCCUCUGGGUUCCGGGGGGAGUCUGGUUGCAAAGCUGAAACUUAAAGGAAUUGACGGAAAGGCACCACCAGGCGUGGAGCCUGCGGCUUAAUUUGACUCAACACGGGCCAUCUCACCAGGCCAGCACUCUUGUACGAUUGACAGAUUG
Molecule: ribosomal RNA, 1292 nt
Filed under: Gammarus nekkensis
Lineage: Eukaryota; Metazoa; Arthropoda; Malacostraca; Amphipoda; Gammaridae
Description: SSU rRNA
Rfam family: Eukaryotic small subunit ribosomal RNA
Source: RNAcentral